CUUUACUAUAGUUUGGUAUUGGUGUUCGGUGUGGCUUGUGUAGGAUAGGUGGGAGACUGUGAAGCGGGCACGCCAGUGUUCGUGGAGUCAUCGUUGAAAUACCACUCUGGUCACUCUGGAUAUCUAACUUCGGCCCGUGAUCCGGGUCAGGGACAGUGCCUGAUGGGUAGUUUAACUGGGGCGGUUGCCUCCCAAAAUGUAACGGAGGCGCCCAAAGGUUCCCUCAACCUGGUUGGCAAUCAGGUGGCGAGUGUAAGUGCACAAGGGAGCUUGACUGUGAGACUGACAAGUCGAGCAGGGACGAAAGUCGGGACUAGUGAUCCGGCAGUGGCUUGUGGAA
This 340-nucleotide ribosomal RNA is filed under the name Alexandrium margalefii. Its description in RNAcentral is "partial Bacterial large subunit ribosomal RNA". It matches the Rfam family "Bacterial large subunit ribosomal RNA", at positions 2099 to 2438 of the family's 2925-position model. Lineage: Eukaryota; Dinophyceae; Gonyaulacales; Pyrocystaceae. The record is from RNAcentral.